GUAAUCACUUGUCUUCUAAAUAAAGACCUGUAUGAACGGCUAAAUGAGGACAAACCUGUCUCUUGUAACCAAUCAGUGAAACUGAUCUGCCCGUACAAAAGCUGGCAUAAACACAUAAGACGAGAAGACCCUGUGGAGCUUAAAACAAAUCACUAACAACACCCUAGUGUAAUGUCUUUAGUUGGGGCGACUUCGGAACAAAAUAAAACUUCCGAGCAGAGAUCCACAACUUCUUACUAAGGCCAACAAGCCAAAGUACUACACCGACCCGGCCACGCCGAUCAACGAACCAAGUUACCCCAGGGAUAACAGCGCUAUCUUCUUCAAGAGUCCAUAUCGACAAGAAGGUUUACGACCUCGAUGUUGGAUCAGGACAUCCAGGCGGUGCAGCCGCUGCCAACGGUUCGUUUGUUCAACGACUAACGU
This 426-nucleotide ribosomal RNA is filed under the name Eutropis beddomei. Its description in RNAcentral is "partial 16S ribosomal RNA". It matches the Rfam family "Bacterial large subunit ribosomal RNA", at positions 1961 to 2594 of the family's 2925-position model. Lineage: Eukaryota; Metazoa; Chordata; Lepidosauria; Squamata; Scincidae. The record is from RNAcentral.